UACGUAGGCAGCAAGCGUUGUUCGGAGUUACUGGGCGUAAAGGGUGCGUAGGCGGCUUUUUAAGUUUGGUGUGAAAUCUCCCGGCUCAACUGGGAGGGUGCGCCGAAUACUGAGAGGCUAGAGUGCGGGAGAGGAAAGUGGUAUUCCUGGUGUAGCGGUGAAAUGCGUAGAUAUCAGGAGGAACACCGGUGGUGUAAACGGCUUUCUGGACCGUAACUGACGCUGAGGCACGAAAGCGUGGGUAGCAAACAGG
Molecule: ribosomal RNA, 253 nt
Filed under: uncultured bacterium
Lineage: Bacteria
Description: partial 16S ribosomal RNA
Rfam family: Bacterial small subunit ribosomal RNA
Source: RNAcentral